This 404-nucleotide ribosomal RNA is filed under the name Verrucomicrobiota bacterium. RNAcentral describes it as "Verrucomicrobia bacterium partial 16S ribosomal RNA". It matches the Rfam family "Bacterial small subunit ribosomal RNA", at positions 355 to 776 of the family's 1533-position model. The record is from RNAcentral. Lineage: Bacteria; Pseudomonadati; Verrucomicrobiota.
UGGGGAAUAUUGCACAAUGGGGGAAACCCUGAUGCAGCGACGCCGCGUGAGCGAAGAAGGCUUUCGAGUCGUAAAGCUCUGUCCUAUGAGAAGAUAAUGACGGUAUCAUAGGAGGAAGCCCUGGCUAAAUACGUGCCAGCAGCCGCGGUAAUACGUAUGGGGCGAGCGUUGUCCGGAAUUAUUGGGCGUAAAGCGCGCGCAGGUGGUUUAGAAAGUCUGAUGUGAAAGCCCACGGCUCAACCGUGGAGGGUCAUUGGAAACUAAUAAACUUGAGUGCAGGAGAGAAAAGUGGAAUUCCUAGUGUAGCGGUGAAAUGCGUAGAGAUUAGGAGGAACACCGGUGGCGAAAGCGGCUUUUUGGCCUGCAACUGACACUGAGGCGCGAAAGCGUGGGGAGCAAACAGG